CUAAGAGCAAAUGGUGGAUGCCUUGGCUAGUAGAGGCGAUGAAAGACGUGCCAGGCUGCGAUAAGUCUCGGGGAGCCGUCAAGGGGCUUUGAUCCGGGAAUUUCUGAAUGGGGCAACCCAGUAUAUAGUGAUAUGUACUACCGCAAUGCGGAGCGAACGUUGGGAAUUGAAACAUCUUAGUACCAAUAGGAAAAGAAAUCAAACGAGAUUACGCUAGUAGCGGCGAGCGAAAGCGUAAGAGGGCAAACCACUAGCUUGCUAGUGGGGUUGUAGGACUGCAAUAUAGACUUAAACAAUCUAAUAGAAUAAGUUGGAAAGCUUAAGCAUAGAGGGUGAUACUCCCGUAUAUGAAAGUGCGUUUAUACUUAGCAGUAUCCUGAGUAGGGCGGGACACGUGUAAUCCUGUCUGAAGCUGGGUAGACCACUAUCCAACCCUAAAUACUACUACUAGACCGAUAGUGCACAAGUACCGUGAGGGAAAGGUGAAAAGAACUGAGGUGAUCAGAGUGAAAUAGAACCUGAAACCAUUUGCUUACAAUCAUUCAGAGCCCUAUGAUUUAUCAGGGUGAUGGACUGCCUUUUGCAUAAUGAGCCUGCGAGUUGUGGUGUCUGGCGAGGUUAAGGAAACCCGGAGCCGUAGCGAAAGCGAGUCUUAAUAGGGCGUAUAGUCAGAUGCUGCAGACCCGAAACGAUGUGAUCUAUCCAUGAGCAGGUUGAAACUGGUGUAAGAGCCAGUGGAGGACCGAACAGACGGCCGUUGAAAAGGCUCCUGAUGACUUGUGGAUAGGGGUGAAAGGCCAAUCAAACAUCGUGAUAGCUGGUUCUCUCCGAAAUAUAUUUAGGUAUAGCGUUGUGUAGUAACUUUGUGAGGUAGAGCACUGAAUGGGCUAGGGCAUACACCAAUGUACCAAACCCUAUCAAACUCCGAAUGCGCAAAGUGUAAUCACAGCAGUCAGGCGGCGAGUGAUAAAAUCCGUCGUCGAGAGGGGAACAACCCAGACUAACAGCUAAGGUCCCUAAAUCUCAUUUAAGUGGAAAACGAUGUGGAGUUACUGAAACAACCAGGAGGUUGGCUUAGAAGCAGCCAUCCUUUAAAGAAAGCGUAAUAGCUCACUGGUCUAGUGAUUCUGCGCGGAAAAUAUAACGGGGCUAAAAUGAGUACCGAAGCUUUAGACUUGCACUUAAUUCUAAUUAUAAAUUAAAUUAUGAGAAAAUAGUUUAGCUAAAAUAAUUAGAAGUAGUUAGAAUUAAGUGCAAGUGGUAGGAGAGCGUUCUAUUCAGCGUUGAAGGUAUACCGGUAAGGAGUGCUGGAGCGGAUAGAAGUGAGCAUGCAGGCAUGAGUAGCGAUAAAAGGGGUGAGAAUCCCCUUCGCCGUAAACCCAAGGUUUCCUACGCGAUGCUCGUCAUCGUAGGGUUAGUCGGGUCCUAAGCAAAGUCCGAAAGGGGUAUGCGAUGGAAAAUUGGUUAAUAUUCCAAUACCAAUUAUUAUGUGCGAUGGAAGGACGCUUAAAGUUAAUGGAGCUAGCGGAUGGAAGUGCUAGUCUAAGGGCGUAGGUUGAGUUAUAGGCAAAUCCGUAACUCUCUAUCCGAGACCUCAAAGGCUCUUGACGCUCUUCGGAGUAGAUGGAGAAUCCAUGAUACUAUCGAGCCAAGAAAAGUUUCUAAGUUUAGUAAUAAUUGCCCGUACCGUAAACCGACACAGGUGGGUGGGAUGAGUAUUCUAAGGCGCGUGGAAGAACUCUCUUUAAGGAACUCUGCAAAAUAGCACCGUAUCUUCGGUAUAAGGUGUGCCUAACUUUGUAUUAAGAUUUACUCCCAAAGCAAAGAAGGUUACAACAAAGAGUCCCUCCCGACUGUUUACCAUAAACACAGCACUCUGCUAACUCGUAAGAGGAUGUAUAGGGUGUGACGCCUGCCCGGUGCUCGAAGGUUAAUUGAUGGGGUUAGCAUUAGCGAAGCUCUUGAUCGAAGCCCGAGUAAACGGCGGCCGUAACUAUAACGGUCCUAAGGUAGCGAAAUUCCUUGUCGGUUAAAUACCGACCUGCAUGAAUGGCGUAACGAGAUGGGAGCUGUCUCAAAGAGGGAUCCAGUGAAAUUGUAGUGGAGGUGAAAAUUCCUCCUACCCGCGGCAAGACGGAAAGACCCCGUGGACCUUUACUACAGCUUGACACUGCUAUUUGGAUAAAGAUGCGCAGGAUAGGUGGGAGGCUUUGAUCCAUAGACUCUGGUUUAUGGUGAGCCAUUGUUGAGAUACCACUCUUCUUUAUUUGGGUAGCUAACUAGCCUAAGUUAUCCUUAGGUAGGACAAUGUCUGGUGGGUAGUUUGACUGGGGCGGUCGCCUCCCAAAGUGUAACGGAGGCUUACAAAGGUUGGCUCAGAACGGUUGGAAAUCGUUCGUAGAGUAUAAAGGCAUAAGCCAGCUUAACUGCGAGACGUACAUGUCAAGCAGAGACGAAAGUCGGUCUUAGUGAUCCGGUGGUUCUGUGUGGAAGGGCCAUCGCUCAAAGGAUAAAAGGUACCCCGGGGAUAACAGGCUGAUCUCCCCCAAGAGCUCACAUCGACGGGGAGGUUUGGCACCUCGAUGUCGGCUCAUCGCAUCCUGGGGCUGGAGCAGGUCCCAAGGGUAUGGCUGUUCGCCAUUUAAAGCGGUACGCGAGCUGGGUUCAGAACGUCGUGAGACAGUUCGGUCCCUAUCUGCCGUGGGCGUAAGAAGAUUGAGGAGAGUUGACCCUAGUACGAGAGGACCGGGUUGAACCAGCCACUGGUGUAUCAGUUGUUCUGCCAAGAGCAUCGCUGAGUAGCUAAGCUGGGAUGUGAUAAGAGCUGAAAGCAUCUAAGCUCGAAGCCAACUCCAAGAUGAAUCUUCUUUUAAGAGCUCUAGUAGACUACUAGUUUGAUAGGCUGGGUGUGUAAUGGAUGAGAGUCCUUUAGCUGACCAGUACUAAUAGCUCGUUUGCUUAUCUU
This is a ribosomal RNA of 2965 nucleotides. It matches the Rfam family "Bacterial large subunit ribosomal RNA".